CACGUAGGGGGCGAGCGUUGUCCGGAUUUAUUGGGCGUAAAGAGCUCGUAGGCGGCUAAGUAAGUCAGGUGUGAAAACUCCAGGCUCAACCUGGAGACGCCACCUGAUACUGCUUUGGCUAGAGUCCGGUAGGGGAGCAUGGAAUUCCUGGUGUAGCGGUGAAAUGCGCAGAUAUCAGGAGGAACACCAGUGGCGAAGGCGGUGCUCUGGGCCGGUACUGACGCUGAGGAGCGAAAGCGUGGGGAGCAAACAGGAUUAGAAACCCGUGUAGU
RNAcentral lists this ribosomal RNA (272 nucleotides) under uncultured bacterium. RNAcentral's name for it is "partial 16S ribosomal RNA". It matches the Rfam family "Bacterial small subunit ribosomal RNA", at positions 524 to 794 of the family's 1533-position model. The record is from RNAcentral.